This 1215-nucleotide long non-coding RNA is filed under the name Anas platyrhynchos platyrhynchos (common mallard). RNAcentral's name for it is "lncRNA (ENSAPLG00000024432.1)". Lineage: Eukaryota; Metazoa; Chordata; Aves; Anseriformes; Anatidae. The record is from RNAcentral.
GGCAUAUUGAAGAGAUACAGCAUGAGAACAUGCAGAUGUAAUGAUGCCUGCUUAGCAGUGAGGGUUUGGUCAGGGAGGAUAUGGGAGCAGGGAAAUCAGGAUAAGCCUGGACACUGCUCCUCUCAGCAAAUCCCUCUCUGCCCCUUGGUACAGGUGGGCAGCCCUUCACUGCUGUGUCUCCUGCAGGGGAUCUCCUGGCUCCUGCUCUCCAAAUGAACUCAACUUCUGCUCAGCCAGGUACCACAGUUGUGCUCCAGUGUAUUCUCCCUGUGGUGUCACAUGCAAGACGAAUCAUCUUCUGCAAGGAUGGGAUGGAGGCGUACAGCCAGAAAGCCCAUCAAGGGCAGCUGAGCUACUCCGUCGUCUUGAACAUCACAUCAAGAAACGCAGGAAGAUAUACAUGUGGGUACCAGCAGACUAAUAACAUGAAACACAUGAGGAGCUCUGCCCUCAGUGCUGGCCGCAACCUGGAUGUCCCAGGUGCAUUUGCUGGCGUAACCACCCAGGACAUCUGCAGCUCCCCAGGUGAGGUUGAGCGUGGGGAUGGGUGAAAGAAGAGAGGUGUGUGUGGGGUGGUGAUGGCAAGGGAGAGGGAAUUUGUUCUCUGUGUGUGAGCUCUUGGGAAGGAAUCGUUUCCCUGCAUGGAACACAAAGCAGUUUGUGUCCAGUUCUGGAAUUCCCUGUUCAGGAGGGGCAUAGAACUACUGGAGAGAGUCCAGACGAGGGCUGCAAAGAUGGUCAGAGGUCUGGAGCUGAGAGAACUGAGCCUGUUUAACCUGGAAAAGAGGAGACUGAGGGGAGACCUCAUCCAUGUCUAUAAAUAUCUGAGGGGAGGGUGUUGAGAGGAUGGAGCUGGUCUCUUUUCGAUUGUGUCCAGGGAAAGGGCGAGAGACAAUGGGCUCAAACUGAAGCAGAGAAAGUUCCAUCUGAAUACGAGGGGCAUUUCUUUACUGGGAGGGUGACAGAGCACUGGAACAGGCUGCCCAGAGAUGCUGUGGAGUCUCCUCUGGAGAUAUUCCAAAUCCACCUGGAUGCCAUUCUGUGCAGUCUGUCCUUGCUGAUCCUGCUCAGCAGAAGGCUGGACUACAUAACUUUCAGAGGUCCCUUCCAACCUUGGCCAUUCUGUGAUUGUGUGAUCCUCUAGCCCCCAUAAUCACAGACAGAUGAGAGUGGUGGUGUUAAAUGAAGAGGCACACCUCUGCCAUGCCGUUUUUU